CACAUGCAAGUCGAGGGGUAGAGUUAGCUUGCUAACUUGAGACCGGCGCACGGGGUGCGUAACGCGUAUGCAAUCUACCUUGUACAGGGGGAUAGCCCAGAGAAAUUGGGAUUAAUACCCCAUGGUGUUUAGAAGUGGCAUCACUUUUUUACUAAAGUUCCAACGGUACAAGAUGAGCAUGCGUCCCAUUAGCUAGUUGGUAUGGUAACGGCAUACCAAGGCUAUGAUGGGUAGGGGUCCUGAGAGGGAGAUCCCCCACACUGGUACUGAGACACGGACCAGACUCCUACGGGAGGCAGCAGUGAGGAAUAUUGGUCAAUGGUCGCAAGACUGAACCAGCCAUGCCGCGUGCAGGAAGACGGUCCUAUGGAUUGUAAACUGCUUUUAUACAGGAAGAAACCCUCUCACGUGUGGGAGCUGACGGUACUGUAGA
Molecule: ribosomal RNA, 433 nt
Filed under: uncultured bacterium
Lineage: Bacteria
Description: bacterial SSU rRNA
Rfam family: Bacterial small subunit ribosomal RNA
Source: RNAcentral